GACGAACGCUGGCGGCGUGCCUAAUACAUGCAAGUCGAACGGUCUUUUCUAUGGAAGCUUGCUUCCACUGAGAAGAUAGUGGCGAACGGGUGAGUAACACGUGGGUAACCUGCCCAUAAGAGGGGGAUAACAUCCGGAAACGGGUGCUAAUACCGCAUAGGUUUCUUGGUCGCAUGAUCGAGAAAGGAAGACGGCCUUUGUGCUGUCGCUUAUGGAUGGACCCGCGGCGUAUUAGUUAGUUGGUGAGGUAAUAGCUCACCAAGGCGACGAUCAGUAGCCGAUCUGAGAGGAUGACCGGCACACUGGAACUGAGACACGGUCCAGACUCCUACGGGA
This 336-nucleotide ribosomal RNA is filed under the name uncultured bacterium. Its description in RNAcentral is "bacterial SSU rRNA". It matches the Rfam family "Bacterial small subunit ribosomal RNA", at positions 28 to 346 of the family's 1533-position model. The record is from RNAcentral.